RNAcentral lists this transfer RNA (77 nucleotides) under Desulfovibrio psychrotolerans. Its description in RNAcentral is "tRNA-Arg". It matches the Rfam family "tRNA". Rfam says of the family: Transfer RNA (tRNA) molecules are approximately 80 nucleotides in length. Their secondary structure includes four short double-helical elements and three loops (D, anti-codon, and T loops). Further hydrogen bonds mediate the characteristic L-shaped molecular structure. tRNAs have two regions of fundamental functional importance: the anti-codon, which is responsible for specific mRNA codon recognition, and the 3' end, to which the tRNAs corresponding amino acid is attached (by aminoacyl-tRNA synthetases). tRNAs cope with the degeneracy of the genetic code in two manners: having more than one tRNA (with a specific anti-codon) for a particular amino acid; and 'wobble' base-pairing, i.e. permitting non-standard base-pairing at the 3rd anti-codon position. Lineage: Bacteria; Pseudomonadati; Thermodesulfobacteriota; Desulfovibrionia; Desulfovibrionales; Desulfovibrionaceae. RNAcentral also lists the same sequence under 1 other name. The record is from RNAcentral.
GGGGCUGUAGCUCAGUUGGAUAGAGUAGCUGGCUACGAACCAGUUGGUCGGAGGUUCGAAUCCUUCCAGCCCCGCCA